GAAAGAUUUAAUUUUAAAAUUAGAGGAUGACAUAAUUUAACAUAAAAGUAAUAUAAAUUUUUGAAGACUUCAGUAGAAAAAAAUUUUGAGGACAAAAUUUAUUUUUAGGGAGGUCGAAUGUAAUAUCCAAAAAAAAUUAAAAAAAUCAGAAGAACUCGUGAAGGAGUUCUUCUCUCAAUCCAAUCCAAAUACCACCUAAAAAUCUGAUUGAAAUCGAAUUGAAACUCUUCCUUUUUGAGAUCUAUUUAAGGACCCCAACCCCUUGAUUCAUCAUCAUCGAAAAAUCACCAAAGAUCACUGUUCUUUUUCUCCUGAUUUUGCCCUGUUCACCGAUAGAAUAAUCUCAUUUUAGCUACCAAAAAUCGGAUCAAAUCCAUCCAAAAACUAGGUAA
Molecule: long non-coding RNA, 392 nt
Filed under: Elaeis guineensis (African oil palm)
Lineage: Eukaryota; Viridiplantae; Streptophyta; Magnoliopsida; Arecales; Arecaceae
Description: long non-coding RNA (EGUI_LNC070919)
Source: RNAcentral